RNAcentral lists this ribosomal RNA (253 nucleotides) under uncultured bacterium. RNAcentral describes it as "partial 16S ribosomal RNA". It matches the Rfam family "Bacterial small subunit ribosomal RNA", at positions 524 to 776 of the family's 1533-position model. The record is from RNAcentral.
UAAGAAGGGGGCUAGCGUUGUUCGGAAUCACUGGGCGUAAAGCGCACGUAGGCGGAUUGUUAAGUCAGGGGUGAAAUCCCGAGGCUCAACCUCGGAACUGCCUUUGAUACUGGCGAUCUAGAGUCCGGGAGAGGUGAGUGGAACUGCGAGUGUAGAGGUGAAAAUCGUAGAUAUUCGCAAGAACACCAGUGGCGAAGGCGGCUCACUGGCCCGGAACUGAAGCUGAGGUGCGAAAGCGUGGGGAGCAAACAGG